Molecule: RNA transcript, 2143 nt
Organism: Mirounga angustirostris (Northern elephant seal)
Lineage: Eukaryota; Metazoa; Chordata; Mammalia; Carnivora; Phocidae
Gene name: fatty-acid amide hydrolase 1-like
Exons: 6
Source: RefSeq, a predicted model, not a curated record
AAAAACUGUGGGAACAUCACACAGCAGUGGAGGUGAUGUGUGCCUGAAGAGACCUCAAGGGACUGCUGGAGCGGGGGCAGCAGAGACCUGGGUGGUGACAAGAGUGGCCAGAUUGGGGGUGGGCUACACCUGGAUGGGGAGGCUUGGGGACAUGGGAGGUUAAUUUAGUCCAUCUCUUUGGGGCCAGGAUGAUAACGUUGUUCCCAAAUAAUUGCAGCCCGAGACUCCCCUUCCCAUCCCUUCACCUCAGCCCCUGGGAAGGCCCUGACCCCUCCUCCUGCCCCCCAGAUAUCUUAGGGCACAUCUCACAGCCUGGGAAUUCUUCCUGAUGUUGAAUGCCACUGGGCUUGGCAGCACCUGACCUUGUCUUGCAAACAGUGACUUCUGCUGGUCCCACCCCUCACUGUCCCUGCAGGAGUAUCAGCAAGAGUUCAUAGCCAAGUGGAGGUGCUUGGACCUGGAUAUUCUGCUGACACGAGCGCUGACCCCUGCCUUCUCUACAGGCCAUUCUAGCAUGGCAUUAGGGACGAGCCAAGUCCGCCUCACAGGGGUGGAGAGGACUCAAGGAAUCAGUAACGGAGAGAGGCCAGCACAGUGCCUGGCACAGAGGAAGGCUUCAAGAGCAUCCAUCCUCUCCUUCCCUCCACUGUGGGGCGGGCAGGAAGCCGUGGUCAGGUGAUUUCCCGGCCCCAGACGGGGAACGUUGCAAGCCCAGAGGGCUGCAGUUCCGAGAAGGACCCCGAGGGGGCGCUCACCCAACACUCUUCCCCACCUGCGUCUUUCGUCCCCUGACCUGGGCUGGCAGGGAUCUUCCUACAGACGUCGCCUCCUGCUGGAGCCUGUACAAUGUCCUGAACUUCCCCGCUGGCAUGGUGCCGGUCACCGCGGUGACGCUGCAGGACGAGGAGGAACCGGCCUUCUACAAGGGAUACUACGGAGACAGUUCUGACAAAUCUUUCUGGGAGGCACUUCCCUGAUCAAGAACUUGCCAUGACUUCCACUGCUGUCUAGAGAAAGUUCCAAAGAGCAGGCCCAAGAGAAUGAAACCCAGUCAGAACUGAUCCUAGUCCUACUUCCAGCCAGCUCUGCAAACUAAUGGACUCAUUCCUCCCUGUGCUCGAUAGCAGAGACUUUCUGGAGAUAAAACCUCAAUGCAGAGGAAUAGAUUUUCUCCAUCCUCCCCAUCCACCUAUAUAGCCAUCCAUCCUACAUUUGUUGAGUACCUCCUCUGAACCCAAAUGAUGGAAUUUCAGGCAGAAAAAGACCUGAGAGUUUAACUACGAAGGAAUCACGCCAGAAGGGAAGUCCUGACUCCACCUACCACAGAAGGAAGCAUCUGGGAUGUCCAGGGGCAGAGAGAGGAGAGAGCGAGAGUACAUAAGCAGGAGGAACAGGAGAAGGAGAAGGAGAAGGAGAAGCAGCCUCCCCACUGAGCAGGGAGCCUGAUGUGGGAUUCGAUGUGGGGCUUGAUGUGGGGCUUGAUCCCAGGACCCUGGGCUCAUGACCUGAGCCGAAGGCAGAUGCUUAACCGACUGAGCCACCCGGGCGCCCCUCAUGUGGCAUUUAUAACAUACCAGCCACCAUAUAAAGAAAUCCAGGCUACUAUGCUGAAGAGGCUGCAUGGAGGAGAACUGAGGCACCCCCGCUGACAGCCCGCACCAACUGCCAGCCACAUGAACAAGCCCUCUUGGAAGAGGCCCCCCGCCCCCGUCAAGACUUCAGAGGAUAUAGCCCUAACCAAUAUAACUGCAAUCCCUAAGAGACCCCCCAGGCCAGAACCACCCAGCUAAGCUGCUCCUGGAUUUCUGCCCCUCAGAAACUGUAAUAUAAUAUAGGCAUACCUCAUUUUAUUGAGCUUUGCUUUAUUGCACUUUGCAGAUACUAUGUUUUUGUUUUUUGUUUUUUGUGUUUUUUUUUUUUGCAAAUUGAAGGUUUAUGGCAACCCUGUAUCGAGCAAGUCUGUCGAUGCCAUUUUUUUCCAACAGCAUUUGCUCACUUAUGUCUGUGGCACAUUUUGGUAAUUUUUGCAAGAUUCCAAAUCUUUUUGUUAUUAUUAUAUUUGUUAGGGUGAUCUGUGAUCAGUGAGUAUGACCAGCUGAAAGCUCAGAUGAUGGUUAGCAUAUUUUAACAAUAAAGUAUUUUU